CUCCAAGUUAGCCACGCUGCCAGAUGGAAGAACUAAAAAUCAGGACCUACCUUUGGCUUUCCCCCUCCUCCUCUCCCAUAUCGCUCCUGUGAGAGGUGACAGCGUGAUGGCGGCCCUCGCAGCCCUGGCUCGCUCUCGGUGCCCCCUUGGCCUCGGCGCCCAUUCUGGCCGCACUUGAGGAGCCCUUCAGCCCGCCGCUGCACCGUGGGAGACCUUCUCUGGGCUGGCCGAGGCCGGAGCUGGCUCCCUCGGCUUGUGGGGAGGUGUGGAGGGAGAGGCACGGGCGGGAACCGGGGCUGCGCGUGGCGCUUGCGGGCCAGCUAGAGUUCCGGGUGGGCGUGGGCUUGGCGGCCCCGCACUCGGAGCGGCCGGCCAGCCCUGCCGCCCCGGGCAGUGAGGGGCUUAGCAUCCAGGCCAGCAGCUGCGGAGGGUGCGCCCGGUCCCCCAGCAGUGCUGGCCCACCGGCGCUGCGCUCGAUUUCUCGCCCGGCCUUAGCUGCCUCCCCGCUGGGCAGGGCUUGGGACCUGCAGCCCGCCAUAACUGAGUCUCCCCCGCCCCGCCGUGGGCUCCUGCGCGGCCUGAGCCUCCCGGAGGAGCACCGCCGACCGCCUAAGGGCUGAGGAGUGCGGGCGCACGGCGGGAGACUAGCGGGCAGCUCCACCUGUGGCACUGUGCAAGAUCCACUGGGUGAGGCCAGCUGGGCUCCUGAGUCUAGUGGGGACUUGGAAAACCUUUGUGUCUAGCUAAGGGAUUGUGAGUGCACCAAUCAGCACUCUGUGUCUAGCUCAAGGUUUGUAAACACCAAUCAGCACCCUGUGUCUAGUUUGGGGUUUGUGGAUGCACCAAUGGGCACUCUGUAUCUAGCUAAUCUGGUGGGGACUUGGAGAAUCUUUAUGUCUAGCUAAGGGAUUGUGAAUGCACCAAUGGGCACUCUGUGUCUAGCUCAAGGUUUGUAAAUGCAACAAUGAGCGCUUUGUGUCUAGCUAAUCUGGUGGGGACUUGGAGAAUCUUUAUGUCUAGCUAAGGGGUUGUGAAUGCACCAAUUGGCACUCUGCAUCUAGCUCAAGGUUUGUAAAUGCACCAAUCAGCACCCUGUGCCUAGCUCAGGGUUUGUAAAUACACCAAUGGACACUCUGUAUCUAGCUAAUCUAGUGGGGAUGUGGAUAACUUUUGUGUCUAGCUCAGGGAUUGUGAACACACCAAUCGGCACCCUGUCAAAAUGGACCAAUCAGCUCUCUGUAAAACAGACCAAUCGGCUCUCUGUAAAAUGGACCAAUCAGCAGGAUGUGGGUGGGGCCAGAUAAGAUAAUAAAAGCAGGCUGCGUGAGCCAACAGUGGCAACUUGUUCGGGUAUCCUUCCCCAGUGUGGAAGCUUUAGUUCUUUUGCUCUUUGCAAUGAAUCUUGCUGCUGCUCACUCUUUGGGUCCACGCUGCGUUUACACUGUGUUUAUGAGCUGUAACACUCACCACAAAGGUCUGCAGCUUCACUCCUGAAGCCAGCAAAGACCACGAACCCACCAGGAAGAAGGAACAACUCCAGACACGCAGCCUUAAGAGCUGUAACACUCACUGCCAAGGUCUUCAGCUUCACUCCUGAGCCAGCCAGACCAUGAACCCACCAGAAGGAAAAAACUCGGAACACAUCCCAACAUCAGAAGGAACAAACUCUGGACAUGCCGCCUUUAAGAACUGUAACAACGCAAGGGUCCGCGGCUUUAUUCUUGAAGUCAGUAAGACCAAGAACCCAAUUCCGGACACGUUUGGACCGCCCACAAGGGCAAGACUUCAUGAGGUUCUGGUGACCAAGCAUGCUCAUCGCUGUCCUGGGACUGCUCCAAGUGCAAUUCAAAGAUGUUUGUUACAAAUGAAGAUCCUCUCCUCAGAGAUCCUCAUUCCCUGCAUUUGAGAUGGGCCCUGGGAACCUUCAUUAUUAACUCCUGAAUUUCACUUGGACCAACACGGUGAUGGUGACAAGCCCAGCAGAUGGAAAGGCAGCUCAACAUCUGAGAAGCCAGUCUUACUCCCUGCAGGCAACAGCUGCUUCCAGAAAACAGCCCUGUAAUUGUCACCAUCAAAUCCAUAUAUUUUCAAGGGAAGUUGGUCCCACACCAGAAGUCAUAGCUGAAUCACCAGCAGUAAUGCAGGGACAUACUGGUUGCUUCUUGGCUUUUCCAACCCUCUGCCAUGCUUGAACAUCUUUGUGAAAGUCCAGGAACAACAAAUAAGCUUAAGGAUAAAAGCCCCCCAGCCAUACCACCACAACCCCCUGUUAAACUCAUGCAUGACUUGUAGAAUCCUUUCCCCACUGUCACUAAAAGGCUUUUUACAUUUUCCCUCCUUAAAACACCAGUUUACUGAAUGGAACGCUAUUUCCUAAAUAUUUGCUACACACACAGCUGUAUAUAGAGUUCCCAGGAGAUGACUUUUUUCUUGUCAUCUUUUAAAACUACAGUUAUAUGUUGAUUUAAUUAUCUUCUCUCUAGAUUACUUCACCAAAGUACAGUUCCUACAGGAAGAUAAUGAUCUGACCUAACCUACUAUUGGCUGAAGGAAGGAGAAAAGCAGCUGAAGAUGUCUGUUGAGUGAUUACCCUCAUAAUCCGUGACUAAGAACAUCCAAAUCAGCAUGGCUUCUUCCUGUCUGAAAUUAUUACUACUUAGGGUUUUUCACGUGUUAUUUCAUUUAUUGAUUAUUCUGUUUUAAACUUGCAAGACGUAUUGUCUCUUCAGAAAUAAAACUUUAUCACUUGCUUCAUCAAUUCAAUUAAUUUCACAAUGCAUUGAUUAAACUCCUACGUAAGCAUUUCAGCAUUUUAAAACAUUUUUAAAAAGGUAAAAUCAGGACUGUCAUGUGAAUGAUAUGCCAAAGGUUUUAUUCAACUCAUUAAUUAAUGAAGGAACAAGUGAGGUAUAUAUAGCCAUUUUAAU
RNAcentral lists this long non-coding RNA (2927 nucleotides) under Homo sapiens (human). RNAcentral's name for it is "HSALNT0378252". Lineage: Eukaryota; Metazoa; Chordata; Mammalia; Primates; Hominidae. The record is from RNAcentral.